Molecule: long non-coding RNA, 1027 nt
Filed under: Androctonus crassicauda
Lineage: Eukaryota; Metazoa; Arthropoda; Arachnida; Scorpiones; Buthidae
Source: RNAcentral
UGGGGAGGUCCGGAAAUGUAAAGGGGCAGAUAUGUCUGGUUAACGUAAAGUCCGGUUACAGGUGGUAAAAAGUCAUGAUCAGGUGAAAUGAGUCCAGAUAGGAAAGAAAGACCAGUCGAAUAUCGAGGAAGAGCAGAUGCAAAACAUCUGCCUCUCCAAGGAUUCUCGUCUGAUGUCAUGGGUGGAAGAAACAGAUGGCAGUCGACAAAGUUAAUGUCGAAUCCCAUCUGUUUCUUCCACCCCGAGAAUCCUUCUCGAUAGCGGCUAUUCAACUAUCGCGAACAACAGUUGAAAAGCCGCCGACAGGUGUCGAGCACCCAGUUGGAUGGAGGACUGGGCUCGACUGGUAUCUCGUAGACGUGCACCAACGGCUCGGCGAAGGUGACGCGCCGAGAAUUCGAAUGACCCUGGUCAUUCGAAUUUCUGCGAGAUGCGAGCAUCUCGUCACCUUGGCUGCAUCCCUCUGAUUCGAUUUCUGCCCCAGACAAGAUGCUGUUGACAGAAAGCGAAUCAGAACGAACAGGAGAAAGUGCCUCCUGUUCCUUCUGAGCGAGGGAUGAGACGCCCAGCCGGGGGAAACGGGAAGAUGGUGCCGCCUUUUCCUUCUGAACGAGGGACGAGAUCCCCAUCCGAGGAAAGCGAGAAGGUUGCUUGCAAACGAGGGACGAGAUGCCCAUCCGAGGAAAGUCACCACCUCGUCGCGUGAUUAAGACGCGAGGAGGUAGUGCCGCCUGUUCGUUGUCAACGAGGGAGGAGGUGCCUAAUCGAGGGAAGCGAUCACCUCGUCGCCUUCCUCCAGUGUCGCUUUGGGUCACGAUAUCCGAGAAGCGGACUUCAUGGACACCGUGGCCCAAAGCGCCCGACCCUGGGGCCGUCGUCUGCCUUCUUCGACGUCUUCGUAGCCAGGGAAACCACUGUUCGAAUCAAAUCAAUAUUAAAUAUUAUGCAGUUAACAGGAAAUUUCUGAUUUUACUUACACGGGUCAUUCCAUAUAAAAUCAGCCAAAUCUAAAUAAAGUGGUUGCUGC